ACGGAGCAAACAUGACUGACAGC
RNAcentral lists this non-coding RNA (23 nucleotides) under Cricetulus griseus (Chinese hamster). The record is from RNAcentral. Lineage: Eukaryota; Metazoa; Chordata; Mammalia; Rodentia; Cricetidae.